CCGUCCCAUGAUCCAAUCUCCCCCGACCCCUCGCCCUCGUUCCCAUCUCUCCAUGUUCAAUGCCCCAAGAACCCACACGAUCUCCACCUCCUCGCUCCCUCAUCCACCAUGGCCGCUACGGCCACCGCCAUCGCCCAUCUCCCCCUCCCUAUCUCCACCACCUCGUCGUGCUUCGCUGUGGUCCAUCCCAGCGCUGCCGCUGCUGCACCCCGCCCUCUCUCCAAGGCGAUGGCUGUGAUGGCGGAGGCCCGAAACCCGGUCUCCUCUGCAGCCCGCCAACACUGGAGAUGCAAGACCACGACGGAAGUGGUCAUGUGGUCGGAGGUGUUGUGCGGGAGAAUGCAAUGGCGGGGAGGGAGGUCGGGGUUGUCCGAGCUAUGGUGGAUGUCGAGGAGGAGGAGAAGUACGCACUGCCACUAGGCAGCGUGGGCAGGGUGCUUGCCGGAAUGCCACACAGAUGGGCGCCACCGUGCUCACCGGCGGUGUCAAUUUGGCGGCCAACUCUAGCUGCGUCACCGCUUCCGCGCUCUUCCUCUUCAGGCAUGGCCAUCUCAAGGCGAAUAGGGUAACCAAGGAGGACCCCGUUGAUUCCCUGGAUCAGACGGGAAUCUGUGGGAUAUCUUUGUCAAAGGUCAGCUGCAUGACAUGCUUUAUGGGUGUAGGUUUGAUGGCAUCUUGGUCCCUCGCUGCUGACAGUACUUCUGUGCUUCCAAUGUUGUAGUGGAUCCUUAUAGUAUGUUGAUGAUAUGCAUACUUUUCUGUUUGCUUUGUGAUGUUCACGUUUGAAGCUGUAAUAAUAUGUUGGAGGCCUGCUUUUUGCGUUGCAA
Long non-coding RNA from Triticum dicoccoides, 827 nucleotides. RefSeq lists it as uncharacterized. The record is from RefSeq and is a predicted model, not a curated record. The transcript is spliced from 2 exons. NCBI's taxonomy places the organism in Eukaryota, Viridiplantae, Streptophyta, Magnoliopsida, Poales, Poaceae.